UUGAGCUUGUUUUUAAGAUAGGAAAAAAGACUUCUAAUCUUUAAAUAGUGCGCUCACUCCAUCUUUAGUUGAAG
This 74-nucleotide transfer RNA is filed under the name Onisimus nanseni. RNAcentral describes it as "tRNA-Ser". Lineage: Eukaryota; Metazoa; Arthropoda; Malacostraca; Amphipoda; Lysianassidae. The record is from RNAcentral.